CCUUCUUGUUUACUAUUUUUCUCUGUUUUUAGAUUGUGUCAGGAGUCAUCUUUUUUUUUUGAACUAUUAGGCAGGCGUAAUAGUGUUAGGAAUCAUCAAAUAGAAUAGUAUUUCUUUGUUUGUUGUCAGUUUUUGUCAGCAUAAAAUAGAUUUGAGAGAAAUUCAUUAUUCUGCAUAAAGUAGAUUUGGGAGAAAUGGUAGUGAUUGUAUACAAUUUG
This 218-nucleotide long non-coding RNA is filed under the name Ananas comosus (pineapple). RNAcentral describes it as "long non-coding RNA (ACOM_LNC019489)". Lineage: Eukaryota; Viridiplantae; Streptophyta; Magnoliopsida; Poales; Bromeliaceae. The record is from RNAcentral.